UAAAGCGUGCGCAGGCGGUUUGUAAGACUGUCGUGAAAUCCCCGGGCUCAACCUGGGAAUGGCGAUGGUGACUGCAAGGCUAGAGUUUGGCAGAGGGGGGUAGAAUUCCACGUGUAGCAGUGAAAUGCGUAGAUAUGUGGAGGAACACCGAUGGCGAAGGCACGCCCCCUGGGUCAAAACUGACGCUCAUGCACGAAAGCGUGGGGAGCAAACAGGAUUAGAUCCCGAGU
RNAcentral lists this ribosomal RNA (230 nucleotides) under uncultured bacterium. Its description in RNAcentral is "partial 16S ribosomal RNA". It matches the Rfam family "Bacterial small subunit ribosomal RNA", at positions 561 to 791 of the family's 1533-position model. The record is from RNAcentral.